GAUGAACGCUGGCGGCGUGCCUAAUACAUGCAAGUCGAGCGAACAGACGAGGAGCUUGCUCCUCUGACGUUAGCGGCGGACGGGUGAGUAACACGUGGAUAACCUACCUAUAAGACUGGGAUAACUUCGGGAAACCGGAGCUAAUACCGGAUAAUAUAUUGAACCGCAUGGUUCAAUAGUGAAAGACGGUUUUGCUGUCACUUAUAGAUGGAUCCGCGCCGCAUUAGCUAGUUGGUAAGGUAACGGCUUACCAAGGCAACGAUGCGUAGCCGACCUGAGAGGGUGAUCGGCCACACUGGAACUGAGACACGGUCCAGACUCCUACGGGAGGCAGCAGUAGGGAAUCUUCCGCAAUGGGCGAAAGCCUGACGGAGCAACGCCGCGUGAGUGAUGAAGGUCUUCGGAUCGUAAAACUCUGAUAUUAGGGAAGAACAAAUGUGUAAGUAACUAUGCACGUCUUGACGGUACCUAAUCAGAAAGCCACGGCUAACUACGU
This 496-nucleotide ribosomal RNA is filed under the name uncultured bacterium. RNAcentral describes it as "partial 16S ribosomal RNA". It matches the Rfam family "Bacterial small subunit ribosomal RNA", at positions 28 to 506 of the family's 1533-position model. The record is from RNAcentral.